GCAAAAACACCCCUGAACUCAUUUGAAUUCCAUCCCCUGCCCUCUCGUAUCUUAUCCAUUUCUCUCGCUCUGGCGAUGGCGACGGCGACGGACCGACUUCUGCGGAGACGGCGCGGCGAGGCGGGGCAGGUGCUGCAGAGGAUGGAGGACGCCGGAGCAGAGCACGACAGCUCCCGCCUUCGCUGCUGUCCGCGCGCGCCCGCGUGCUCGCCUCCGUCCGCGCCGGAGAGCUGCUGUCCGCGCGCGCCUCGCCUCCGUCCGCGCCGGAGCGCUGCUGUCCGCGCGCGGCUCACCUCCGCCCGCGUCCUGCCGCGUCCCAACCGCGCCGGGAGACCGCCUCUGCCUGCCGCGCGCGCUGUACGCGUCCGAGUCUCUGACGUCCAACCGCGCCGGGAGACCGCCUCUGCCUGCCGCGCGCGCUACAAUGAAACCAUCCCGGCCCGAAUUGGAGUUCGAUGCUAUAAAUUGAAUUGUUAUUGGCCGGAAUCGUGAACCAGGCCAGCGCCACCAGCGAGCAAUGCACCGUCGCUUGGGGUCAAAGCUGUUUUGUUGGCUGCUGGCUUCUUGUGCUGUUAUAGUUCGCUACAGACAGGUACAUAAGUUCCCUACAGCUACAAGUAUGGUACCAUAAUGUGUCAUCUAUUCGAUUUUGAGGUUUGGUAUUGAUUCAUUGAUCCCCUUUCCUAGGAUUCAUUAUUGGAAAUUGAUCUUGGGCUAUGGAACUAAGAUGAUCUACUCAAAAAGUUUUCUUACCACUAUAUCUUUUUUAUGUGCUAAAUCACUGAUUAAUUACUACACUUAGCAAGAAUUUCCUUUACAAACAAAGCUAGCGUUCGAGGGUGUGGAGGAGGUGAAACACAUGGGGUCACCAUCAGCCUUUCCCUCUAGAUCUGGUGCGUGUAAUUUAACCUGGAUAUUCAGAGACGUAUUGAAAGGAAAACAAUUUGGACCUUAGUUGUAUAUUUGAUGAAGCUAUCUAAUUUGGACUUGAAAUUACACUGUAAAAUUUCCUUUCAACUGCUAACUCAAUUUACAAUUUUCUGAACUUUACUUCUGCCACCAUAUGCUCCCAGUCAUCCCCGCCACAUGUACGUCGCUGGUUCAUCCUGAUGCUUGUCAUCCUCAUUGCGACUGCCGUAGUUUGGCACCAGGCUACCUACCGGCGACGUUGCCCCGCAUCCCGUUGCCAGCUACUGCUCCUUACGGGUCCGCGAGUACCUGCAUGAUUGGAUGCCUUACGGGCACGCACGCUCCUUCCUGAUCUGAUUUGUUCUCAUGGGAAAUCACUUCCUGCCAAUUCCUCAAAGUUCACAAACAGUUUUUAUUUCAUGGAUUUAUUUUUGGCAUUGACUGCUGCACAUUUAGAUAGAUGCAUAUAAUUUGCAUGUCAUGAAGGGAAAAAGACAUCACUGAGCCGUUUGUUUCUAAUUGCGAGGUUAAAUAAUUUUGUGUGUUCUAACUCUAUGGGAUAAUCUGAAGUUAUUUGGCUCAUCGUUGUGCCACAAGUUUCUAACAUCACCGUGCCUGUACACCAUCGACUUCACUGGAAAUAUGUCUGCACGUACUUCAUCGUCCGCCGGAACUUUGUCUGACCUGAGGUACGUACUGCAGUCUCAUGAAUUUGAAUGUGUCAUCAACUAUUACUUAUUAGUUCUGUAUAUGUUCUUUAGUAUAUUGUAAGCUCUGAACAAGACAAUGCCUAAAAGGGUCAUACAUUGCUUUUCCGUGCCAUUCAGUUUUUUCAGUUGAGUUGGCUACUUAAUUUUCCACUAUGUUAAUUCUUUCGUUUGCAAUUUCUCAUUGGUGUUCAUGUAAUUACCCUGCAGCCUUUCUUAGUACUGCCUAACAUUUGAUUGUUGUGCUUACAUAGAACUGGAACUUUUUUGGAUUUUGUAAGGCUGCGGAUAACAAGCCGGUGAGAGCUUAUGGUUCAGUUAGAACCUACCUCUUUCUCUAUCCUAAUGUGAUUUAUAAUGUUUUAUUCUGGUGAGCAUAUGAGGCUGCAGUACUAGGUUUAUGCUCAGAAGUUAAAUUGCUUGCUGAUUAAUUUGCGUCAUAUUAUUCACAUCAAACAGCAGCAGUUUUCUUAUCCAAGUUCAUUUGAUUUUGUAGGCAGGGGGAUUCAAUACCAAGAUUUAUGAUUUGGCAUAAGUGAGAUGACAUAUAGGUGAGUAUGUUGUUCUGACUUUAUGAUACGAGUGUUUUGCACAAAUAUUUCUCAAUAAUGAGCAUAUGUUCUUUUCUGAUGUUGCAUUAGUCAAUGUUUUGAAACUGAUGUAUCUGUGACAAAAAUAUUGAAGUUAUGGACAUGUUGAUAAUUGGUUAUCAAGCAAAGGUACGUUCACUAAAUGUUAGUGGUUAUCGGAAGAAGAAAUCAGUUCAUUUACCGCUGCAGUAAAAAGUGGCACAACUGAUUUUGUUCAGAUACUAAAUUUGCUUGCAUGCUAUUUUUAUAGGCAUUUCCUACAUAUUGAGGGGUAUGCGUGAUAUCUUUUCUAAGGCCAUGAAAUAUUUUCAGGUAGAUGGAUGCGGCGAUCCCGGAUGUGCUUUGCUGCUGUCAUUUUUUUAUCAAGGACGCCACUGUCCAAGUCGUUCUUCUGCCUUGGAAGCUUUAGAAUGCUGGUGGCUGAUGGGGAUUAUAAGAACUUAAAUGCCAGAGAAGUCGUAUUGUAUCAGGACUUAAGCUAAUCGUCCAGAAACCUAAUUCAGGGCAUCGUCCAGACACCCUACAGGGGUGAUGUUGGGUGUCUGGACGAUGCCCUGAGGACCUUCUGACCGAGCUUGGCAUCCUGUAGGCAUCACUCUCCCCGAGGCUACCACACCUUGCUGGCGUGCGGUCCAUCAUGGUGGCAGUGGAUGGGCUCUGGGCGGUCAUCAUGGCGGAGAUGAGGCGGAUCUUACGCAAUAUUGUACGUGUUGUCACGGGGUUGUACGUGAUGCGAUCCCGUUGCAACGCACGGGCACUUUUGCUAUAUAUUCUAAAUCACCGUUGUGGCAGAAUUAGAAUAAAACAUCACCUUUUUA
This is a long non-coding RNA of Triticum aestivum (bread wheat), 3024 nucleotides long. RefSeq lists it as uncharacterized. The transcript is spliced from 5 exons. NCBI's taxonomy places the organism in Eukaryota, Viridiplantae, Streptophyta, Magnoliopsida, Poales, Poaceae. The record is from RefSeq and is a predicted model, not a curated record.